GUGUAAGUAUAAACAAAUUCAAACUGUGAAACUACGAAUGGCUCAUUCAAUCAGUUAUAGUUUGUUUGAUGGUAUCUACUACUCGGAUAACCAUAAUAAUUCUUGAGCUAAUACGUAGAACAAACCACGACAUGUGGAAGGGAUGCAUUCAUUAGAUAAAAGGUCGAUGUGGGCUCUGCCAAUUAUUGCGAUGAUUCGUGAUAACUCGACGGAUCGUAUGGCUAUCGUGCCGGCGAUGCGUCAUUCACAUUUCUACCCUAUCAACCUGAAAUCCAAUUAUUUCUAACUUUUGAAAUAUGAAGUUUAUCGAU
RNAcentral lists this non-coding RNA (311 nucleotides) under Solanum tuberosum (potato). RNAcentral's name for it is "rRNA SSU_rRNA_eukarya". It matches the Rfam family "Eukaryotic small subunit ribosomal RNA", at positions 57 to 353 of the family's 1831-position model. The record is from Rfam by way of RNAcentral. Lineage: Eukaryota; Viridiplantae; Streptophyta; Magnoliopsida; Solanales; Solanaceae.